ACUUUCUUGGGUGUGAAUCUGUCUUUUUAGUUUACUCCUCCUGGUUAAAAAAUAAACUAUAGUGAACGACUGACGUUUGACAUUCGAUUGAGAGUGUUCUGUGUUCCAUUUGUUUAUGUUUUUAUUCUUUGUUUAUAUAAUUUAUAACCUAAACCUAGACAGUUUUGUUUUUAUUUUAAAUAAAACUGAAACUGUCUAAACUAAAAUGGAUAAUAUUCUUGAAGAACUUUUGUUUGGGGACGAAAUUAGCAAAUGCCGUUAUACAUUUAGCAGAUGUACCUACCUCAAAUUAUUCCAGAAGGAUGAGAUGAAAUUAAAUAUAUAUAAACCAUAAUUCAAUAUCCAAUUUAGAGAACAUUUUCGUAUGUCCAGAACUACUUUCCAGGAACUAUUUAAUUGUAUUGGUCAUAUCCACCAAUUUGAAAACAGAAUAAUUCUAUUGGAAAAAAUUAAUGUUUAUGAUGUGGAUGCUAAGUAAACCAGAUAAUUUGUUGCUGGGGAUACGUUUGGUUUGCCAAAGAGCUCUGGACAUAAGAUUUUCACCCAAAUAAUAUAGAAUUACAAAAAAUUGGAAAUAACUAAUCUUGAAUAUCAAUGUGUAUAUUGAGUUUAAUUUUAUUGUAAAUAUUCUAUAAUAUAAUUUUAUUGUAAAUAUUGUAUUAACACAUUUGUGGACACAUUUUCAUAUGCAGACAGUAAUUUCCCUUUGUAAGUACAUGUAUAUAUAGUCGUAUCUGCGAAUGGGUUAAUUGUAAAUCGUAAUCAAUAAAAAUUUUUUGUGAAUCAAUAAAAAACUGGUUUGUUUGAAAAUAAAUGUAGUACAAAUGUGGUUAUAA
Molecule: long non-coding RNA, 836 nt
Organism: Diabrotica virgifera virgifera (western corn rootworm)
Lineage: Eukaryota; Metazoa; Arthropoda; Insecta; Coleoptera; Chrysomelidae
Exons: 2
Source: RefSeq, a predicted model, not a curated record